UUAUGGCCAUAUAACGUUGAAACACCGGUUCCCGUACGGUCACCGAAGUUAAAAAAACGUUGAGCCUGGUCAGUUACCUAGAUGGGUGACCGCUUGGGAAUACCAGGUAC
Non-coding RNA from Acanthosepion pharaonis, 110 nucleotides. Lineage: Eukaryota; Metazoa; Mollusca; Cephalopoda; Sepiida; Sepiidae. The record is from the annotation of a GenBank genome assembly.